RNAcentral lists this long non-coding RNA (2475 nucleotides) under Homo sapiens (human). Its description in RNAcentral is "PCBP1 antisense RNA 1". The record is from RNAcentral. Lineage: Eukaryota; Metazoa; Chordata; Mammalia; Primates; Hominidae.
CCGCGCCUGGUGAGCCCUCUUAUUUUUAUAACAUGCUUCCUAUGUGUUGAUUUUGUUUUCCCUAUUAGGGUAAAUUUUUGAAGGCAGGAGGCAUCUCUUAUAUCCUGUAGUGAUGAGCAUAAUACGAGUUGUUCAAUAAAUACACAUUUGGCAAAGAUGAGAGAGGUGGAGAGAGAAAGAGGUUCCUCUGCUGAAGAAGUGUGAUUACUUUUGGGUUUUGUCUACCUCAUGUGGUACCCAUUUCUAGCAGGGAAUUUCUUCCACUUGCAGACCAAGUGUGUUGGGGACUUGAGAUGCGUACAUGAGUGUGAUGUUUCCUGCUGAAAGCACAGGUGAGACGUGGUCUUGUAACACAGUGGUUAAGAAUGUGACUUUGGAGCCAGCCUGCUAGGGGCUGAAUUCUGACUCAGCCAUUUACUAACUGUGUGACCUUAGGGAGGAGGACCUGGUUGAUAGAAGAAUUUAUCUCGUAGUCUUAACAUCCACUGUAAUUCCAAACUUUGAGGACGAUAGAGAUCAGUGGGCUUUGACUGCCCAGCAUGCAGUCUCCAUUCUUAGGUGGGUUCCCAAGCCUGUAAAAUGUAAGCCUUAUGCUGCUGAGGGCCAUCUUGCCACCCUGAGGGAAACGCUGCCUGAGAAUGAAACAAGCAUAAGUAAAAGCUGAGCUGUGAGAUGGAGCAAGAUGAAGGCCACAUGACAUCUUUGGAGCACCUGGAUCUAACUGUGCCUUAAGCUAGUCUAACCCUGAACAUUUCAUCAUUUCAUUGACAUGAGCCCAGGUUUUCUUUUUUUUUGGAUGGAGUCUUGCUCUGUCGCCCAGGCUGGAGUGCAGUAGCUCAAUCUCGGCUCACUGCAAGCUCCACCUCCCGGGUUCACGCCAUUCUCCUGCCUUAGCCUCCCAAGUAGCUGGGACAACAGGCGCCCACCACCACUCCCAGCUAAUUUUUUGUAUUUUUAGUAGAGACGGGGUUUUACCAUGUUAGCCGGGAUGGUCUUGAUCUCCUGACCUCAUGAUCCGCCCGCCUCGGCCUCCCAAAGUGCUGGGAUUACAGGUGUGAGCCACUGCACCCAGCCCUCAGGUUUUCCCUUUUUUUACCCCUCCUUUUGAAAAUUUGAUGUGGAAUUUUGCCACCUGCAGCCAGAAGAGUUUUAACUAAUCAGUGCCAUAAAUUUUAUAUAGUUCUCCUUGCAAAAUGUGGAUCAGCCUUUCUCAGCAAAUCCUUUGUCAUAAAGUGCUGAAUUGUAAGUUUGUCAUGAGAAUCACAUGAGAUCAUGCAUGUGAAGAACCUGGCAUUAUCCUCCUCAUAGAAAAAAACCAGUAAAUAUUAACUACAGGAAGCAAGGAAGGAGUGGGGUGAGGGGAAGAAGAAGGGGUACUGAUUUAAAAGAACCCUGGAGUCCUAAGGAUAAUCUAGGAACCCUCAGACCCAAUCCGAUACCCCUAUUCUAAAUGCUCCUAGUGCCCUGUACCUUCCCCUCAUAAGCCUUCAUUAUCAUUGUAAUGAUAUGUUUAUGUAAUAUUUUGAUUAAUGUCUCUCCUUCACUGACCUAGCAGUUCUAGCAGGGCAGUGAUUUUGCUGUGUUGCAUCCCCAGCACCUAGUCUGGUAUGUGGCAUUCAGCAUAUGUUUAUUGAAUGAAUGGCCAUGUGGUUAUUCAGAUCCUCCUUGAUUAUUGGGGUUAGGAUUGUGGCAGAAGUGGCAAAAUCAGGGAGAGUAGUCCCUGUCCCCUCUGUAUCUUAUACACUGCCCACACUCCCAACACACAUACACAUACAGAGAAUUUUGUCUCAAUUAGAUAAUUAACUUCUGCUUGGUUGUAAACCAAACCACUGGUUCUUAAACUUUCAUUGGAUCAUUUUAUUGAAGAAUUAAAUAGUGUGGUUCUGGCCUAAUGUCUGGAAAGCCUUGCAGAGGAGUGGAUUAGGUCUUUGUGAUAAACAGGCAGCCUUCCCUGCUCCUGUGUCUUUAUAAAAUCUAUUUAACUGGAGUAGUCCACCCUCCCUCAGGCUCUUACAGGAAUAUGUUGGAGGCUGUAGGAAGGUGGGAAACCGAGAGGGAAAGGACUGGGCCGCUGGAGACUUCACUCAUUCCCUAGCAAGAAACAAAAGCAGUAAAAGGUGGCCCGAGGACAACCUGAAGCUCACUCCUUCAGCACUUUUGGCUGGAGGUCACUUGUUGGAGCCCCACUCAGAGCUCAGCACACCACCCCACCAGCAGCCUCCUCCUCCCAGCUGAGGCUGCAUUUCAUCCCUUCCCCCAGCCUGCUUUCCCUGAGAUAGGGGAGUGUUUCCCAGGGCCCAUGUGACUUCCACUGGCAAGUGACGAUUACCAAUGGUUUACUAGUCAGUGAAACUACCAAAGGCUUUUGUGCUGUAGUAAUCCUUUUCCUGUUUAAAACUCUGGGGAUUUUCUAAUGUUGCCAAUAGUUUUUCAAGUCAGCAAUUACUGUGUGGAUUAUGUAAUGGCUCGGUAUUA